CCUACGGGUAGCUGCAGUGAGGAAUAUUGGUCAAUGGGCGCGAGCCUGAACCAGCCAAGUAGCGUGAAGGAUGACUGCCCUACGGGUUGUAAACUUCUUUUAUAAAGGAAUAAAGUGAGGCACGUGUGCCCUUUUGUAUGUACUUUAUGAAUAAGGAUCGGCUAACUCCGUGCCAGCAGCCGCGGUAAUACGGAGGAUCCGAGCGUUAUCCGGAUUUAUUGGGUUUAAAGGGAGCGUAGAUGGGUUGUUAAGUCAGUUGUGAAAGUUUGCGGCUCAACCGUAAAAUUGCAGUUGAUACUGGCAGUCUUGAGUACAGUUGAGGUAGGCGGAAUUCGUGGUGUAGCGGUGAAAUGCUUAGAUAUCACGAAGAACUCCGAUCGCGAAGGCAGCCUACCGGCGCGCAACUGACGCUCAUGCACGAAAGCGUGGGUAUCGAACAGGAUUAGAUACCCUAGUAGUC
Molecule: ribosomal RNA, 460 nt
Filed under: uncultured bacterium
Lineage: Bacteria
Description: partial 16S ribosomal RNA
Rfam family: Bacterial small subunit ribosomal RNA
Source: RNAcentral